RNAcentral lists this long non-coding RNA (671 nucleotides) under Papio anubis (olive baboon). RNAcentral describes it as "lncRNA (ENSPANG00000039800.1)". The record is from RNAcentral. Lineage: Eukaryota; Metazoa; Chordata; Mammalia; Primates; Cercopithecidae.
UUUAGGCAAAUAGCUCACAAGGAACCUUGAUUACAUUUCUGGAAUGAAAAUAUAACUGGAGUGUGGAGAUAAAUAAGGUCCAGUUCCGACGUCUGGGAUUUCGACUCUUCAGGCAAGAGGAGAGGAGAAAGAUGUUUGGCUUCUACGAAGUAAUUCACCGUCCAGAGCAUCUCGGCAUCUGGCUACUGCUGAGGAAAGAGGAGAAUGUUUUCAGAACAAGAAAAAUCUCACCUGGGGAUCAUACUGUAGGAACUUCAUCCAGGAACCUUAUCUUUUUGUAUGGUUAUGUGCUUUCAUUUCUCUUAGGUAAAUACCUACGAGUAGAAUGGCUGGAUCAUAUUGUGUGUGUGUGUGUGUAACUUUUUAAGAAACUGCCACCUGUUUUCCAUUGAAUUUGCUUUGGAUAAUGAGAUCCUAGACCUCAAGCCUGAGUCCAAAAACCACCAUGGAAAGAGACUUUGGUUUUCUUUUAGGAAGAAGUAUAUUUUGCAUGUGGGAGGAAUGAAAAUUCCUGUGGCUAGAGGACUGUGUCAAACUGUGGUUUCCAAAACAAAAAGUCUUUAGUAAUAUUUACAUUCCAUGUGCUCUUCCAGAACUUGCCACUCCCCAGCAAGAGACAGAGUGUAUGUCUUCUCCUCUUGAAACUGGGUGCGCUUUUGUGACUAUCUCAA